AAUAAGUGUAGCCGUGAAUAUCCGUGCUCAACGUUUGACCGUCCGUCUUAUUUGAAAAAUUUGUGAAAAAUUUAAAAAUAUUUAGUCAUACAUAAAGUAUUAUUAAUGUUUUAUCAUCUAAUAGUAAUAAAAAUACUAAUCAUAAAAAAUUUCAAAUAAGACGAACGGUCAAACGUUGAACAUAAAUAGUGCAAAACUGCACUUAUU
This 207-nucleotide microRNA precursor is filed under the name Oryza glumipatula. Its description in RNAcentral is "MIR812 microRNA precursor family". It matches the Rfam family "MIR812 microRNA precursor family". Lineage: Eukaryota; Viridiplantae; Streptophyta; Magnoliopsida; Poales; Poaceae. The record is from Rfam by way of RNAcentral.